UACGUAGGGUCCAAGCGUUAUCCGGAAUCACUGGGCGUAAAGCGUGCGUAGGUGGCGUGUUAAGUGUGAUGUUAAAUCGUGUGGCUCAACCAUAUCGAUUUGUCGCAUACUGGCAUGCUAGAGGGAAGCAGAGGCAAGUGGAAUUUGUAGUGUAGCAGUGAAAUGCGUAGAUAUUACAAGGAACACCAAUGGCGAAGGCAGCUUGCUGGGCUUCUUCUGACACUGAGGUACGAAAGCGUGGGGAGCGAACAGG
This 253-nucleotide ribosomal RNA is filed under the name uncultured bacterium. RNAcentral describes it as "partial 16S ribosomal RNA". It matches the Rfam family "Bacterial small subunit ribosomal RNA", at positions 524 to 776 of the family's 1533-position model. The record is from RNAcentral.